CAGCAGCCCGAGUGGUGGUCGUUUUUAUUGGGCCUAAAACGUCCGUAGCCUGUUUAGUAAAUGCCUGGGUAAAUCGUGUAGCUUAACUAUACGAAUUCCGGGUAGACUGCUAAACUUGAGACCGGGAGAGGCUAGAGGUACUCCUGGGGUAGAGGUGAAAUUCUGUAAUCCUAGGGGGACCACCAGUGGCGAAGGCGUCUAGCUAGAACGGGUCUGACGGUGAGGGACGAAGCCCUGGGGCACAAACCGGAUUAGAUACCCGUGUAGUCC
Molecule: ribosomal RNA, 270 nt
Filed under: uncultured archaeon
Lineage: Archaea
Description: partial 16S ribosomal RNA
Rfam family: Archaeal small subunit ribosomal RNA
Source: RNAcentral